AUUGAACGCUGGCGGCAGGCUUAACACAUGCAAGUCGAGCGGGGAAGGGUAGCUUGCUACCUGACCUAGCGGCGGACGGGUGAGUAAUGCUUAGGAAUCUGCCUAUUGGUGGGGGACAACAUUCCGAAAGGAAUGCUAAUACCGCAUACGCCCUACGGGGGAAAGCAGGGGAUCUUCGGACCUUGCGCUAAUAGAUGAGCCUAAGUCAGAUUAGCUAGUUGGUGGGGUAAAGGCCUACCAAGGCGACGAUCUGUAGCGGGUCUGAGAGGAUGAUCCGCCACACUGGGACUGAGACACGGCCCAGACUCCUACGGGAGGCAGCAGUGGGGAAUAUUGGACAAUGGGCGCAAGCCUGAUCCAGCCAUGCCGCGUGUGUGAAGAAGGCCUUUUGGUUGCAAAGCACUUUAAGCGAGGAGGAGGCUACUUGGAUUAAUACUCUAGGAUAGUGGACGUUACUCGCAGAAUAAGCACCGGCUAACUCUGUGCCAGCAGCCGCGGUAAUACAGAGGGUGCGAGCGUUAAUCGGAUUUACUGGGCGUAAAGCGUGCGUAGGCGGCUUUUUAAGUCGGAUGUGAAAUCCCUGAGCUUAACUUAGGAAUUGCAUUCGAUACUGGGAAGCUAGAGUAUGGGAGAGGAUGGUAGAAUUCCAGGUGUAGCGGUGAAAUGCGUAGAGAUCUGGAGGAAUACCGAUGGCGAAGGCAGCCAUCUGGCCUAAUACUGACGCUGAGGUACGAAAGCAUGGGGAGCAAACAGG
RNAcentral lists this ribosomal RNA (754 nucleotides) under Acinetobacter johnsonii. Its description in RNAcentral is "bacterial SSU rRNA". It matches the Rfam family "Bacterial small subunit ribosomal RNA", at positions 28 to 776 of the family's 1533-position model. The record is from RNAcentral. Lineage: Bacteria; Pseudomonadati; Pseudomonadota; Gammaproteobacteria; Moraxellales; Moraxellaceae.